AUGCUAUUCAUCAAAAAGCAGUUUGUUUCUUUACUUUCAAAAAUUAGUUUGUUUGUUUCUUUGCUUUACAAACACAGUCUUCCUCAACUUGUUAGUCCCUAAGAGCGCGUUUGGUUGUUAGGUUUUGGUCAGAUUAUUAUUUUUAACUGCAAUAUACAUAAUGUUUGGUUAAUAUAUCUUUCUUUUCUAUGGCCCGUGUUUAAAGUGCUAGGCCCGCACUAUUCAUUUAAUAUUCGACGUGGUAGAAUCGCGAUUUUUUUGGGUGUUUUGAUCUGCGUGCCGGAUUAACACCCCUUUUUCCCCAAUUGCCCAUUCUCAUUAUUGCAAUUCGAAUUUGGUCAAGCAACUCAAGGUGCGAAACCUCUUCCACACACGGGAAGAAAGUGGUUGUCCUCUUCACCCGGCGCCGGAAGUUUAUGCACAAGGGCUCGAUUUAGCCUGCGCAAGCACAAAGCUAAAGCCGCCUCUCAAGGAUCUCGCUUAGCAGAAGAUAUUGGUUGUCCUCAGUACUCGUCGGUGGAAUUUCAUUCGAAGGGAAUCGAUUUAGAUCGCUGAAGGUAAUGUCGUCCUUUUGCAACCAUAUUAUGCAAAUCUGCAUACGUUUCAGUUUGAUUUUUAUGAGUAAUCGUUUGGAUCUAGUUUUUAAAAAGUAUCAAGUGCUUCUAUGUGUCUCCUUUUAGUGUGAAUCCCUUUAUACUUUGCGAAUAGUACUUUUGAUUUCUGUUGAUGAGCUUUUCAAUUAGUCUAUGUGUUCUCUCGGUACAAAUGUGUCGAAUACUCCAUGGGCUUUUUUGCAGAGUUUGUUGUAAUGGGUAGACAAUUAAAUUGGUAAUUUCUUGUUUGUGACCAUCAAUAUGAUUAUAGCUGUUCAGAUCUACUGUACGUGUGGUGUGACGAUAAUUUCUUUGGUUAUUCCAAUGUCUUAUUCUGAAACUUUUGUUGGUGCAGUAGCUUGAUCCUGCUGCUAGUAUUACCAUAUGUGGUAAUGGCUCGUCCAUUUCGUUUUUCCAAAGUCGUGUACCUCAUGGUAGAAGAGAUAGUGCAUCUCUUACAUAUGCACACGCUUAUCCUGUUGCACGUAUAUCUGAAAGAAUUGCACGUUGCGGCCGGUGUAAUAGGCAGAAUCUAAUUAGGUAUUCGCAUAAGAUAGGAUGCCCCAACAAGUAAGACAUAUGAAUAGACUCACAAAAAUUAGUGACAUAGAUUGUUUCGUGAACUUACGCAUGGAUAGUAACACAUUUGGUCGUUUAUGUAUCCUGUUAAGAGACGUUGGUGGGCUGCGAGAUGGAAGAUAUGUAUUACUAGAGGAACAAGUAGCUAUUUUUCUAAGUAUCUUAGCUCACCACAAGAAAAUUCGUCCUUCUGGUUUUGAUUUUAAGCGGUCCGAGGAAACAAUAUCGCAUUACGUCCAUCUUGUGCUGAAGGCAAUUCUUAGACUUCAUACCAUUCUCCUGCCACAACCCGAUCCUGUAACGAACACUUAAGUUGAUCAUCGGUGAAAACAUUUUAAGGGUUGUAUUGGCGCUUUGGAUGGGACAUACAUAAAUGUCCUUGUCAGUAAAGUGGAGAAGCCACGCUAUCGAUCUCGGAAGGGGCAAAUAUCCACAAACACUCUGGCGGCAUGCGUCUGAAACAUGAGAUUCUUGUAUUUUCUACUCGGGUGGGAGGGUUCCGACGGCGAUUCUCGAGUGCUAAGGGAUGCCGUCAGUAGAGACAGGGGAUUGAGGGUGCCCAGAGGUUUAAACACACCAUUGUCUUUGACACUUGUCGGUUUUUUCAAAAUUGAUUCUUCUUUCUUUAUAAGUACAUCACCAUCCUGACCGAUUGUGGUAUUUUUAGGAAAUUACUUUCUAAGCGAUAAUGGAUAUGGAAAUUAUGAAGGAUUCCUGACGCCGUUCAAAAAUGUCUGUUACCAUUUGAAGGAAUGGGGCGUCGAUACCCAAAGAACCCAAAAUGCUCGUGAAUUGUUUAACUUAAGACAUAAUAAAGCUCGUAACAUUAUCGAGCAAGCUUUUGCAGUUCUUAAAAUGAGAUGGGGCAUUCUGCGAAGUGCUAGUUUCUAUCCGAUCAAGAUCCAAAUCCGGAUGAUAAUGGCUUGCUUCUUACUCCACAAUUUUAUUCGUGGUGAGAUGACCAACGACCCAAUAGAACAGGAAAUUGCAAGUGACAUACAGAUUGGCAUUGUAGAUGAUGUUGAUGGUGAAAUUGAAUAUGUUGAUCAAGUAGAGACAACAACUGUUUGGACUCAAAAGAGGGAAGAUUUGGCUAACUCAAUGUGGAACAAUGUGUGUAUUGCCAUGUAGUUUAGAUAUAAAAUGUGCUAUAAAAUUUGCUUUCUUUUUGAUCUGUAUUGUUCUAAUUAAGUCAGGUUUAACACACUCUGAUCUUUUAUCCGUUGUUUGUAAUUUACAACCUCCUAAUGUCGACGACAACAACCGAUAGUGACAUGAUACCCGAGUGUGUUUGUGGUCGAGGCAAGAUGAAGUUGUUACGUGCUGGGAAAGAUGCCAAACACUGCGGUAGGUUGUUUUACAAGUGUCCGACUGAUGCAAACCAAUCAGGGUCUUUCUUGUGGUGUGACGAAUAUCAUAGUAGGAUUGGUGAUGGCACGCAACCCGACUACGUCUUGAACCAAACGUACCGCCCUACAAAGACAGUGCGCAACAUAGAUGAUGAGAAGAAUAAAAUGAGAGCUAACAGUGGACACGUUUGUGGAGUUUGUGGCCGAUGCCAAGCUGAAAUUAGAAUGAACUUUGUGUUGGUUUCAUGGGUUUGGUAUUGUAAUUGUUGGGGGUUGUUUUAGGGAAACUAUUCUAGUUUGCACUUGGACUUAUAUUUAAAUUUGAAUUGUAGGAUGCCCUCACUGCAUGAACUUAUUGACGGUGGUUUAUAUAUUUAACCUAUUUAACUAUUUUGCAAUACAUAUCAAUGUUGUGGUGUUGUUUAUGCAUUUCUUGCCAAGGUUGUUGUUUUGCCUUUGAUCGUAGAAUAUUUCAACUGAAUUUUUAUAGCAUAUAGCUUUGUUUAUGCAGUAUUCCAUUGAUUGAGUUCAAUGGUAGUGGGUAAAGCAUUGAAUGUGAACUCCUUUUGGGUCAAUAUUUUUGCCUAGCAUUGGAGAGAUUUGAGGUCAUUAUGUUUACUUGGCAAUUGAAGAAAGUGGAUUGGACAUGAACCAACCCAACAUAGGCGACAUUACUCAUUAGCUAGAGGAAUGGUUGCGGGGGCUCUGUUUUCCCCAGCCACUUCAUAACCGAGGCAAAGAUCGCGAUCGAAAAGCAGCUUGGUCUUGUAUUUGAGUGGUAUGACAUUGUGGAUAGUCUGCAUUUUCUGGAGAAGUGAUAUAAUACUUUUAAUAAGAUCGUAGCGUUGGAGGGGACCUACUAGAACGCGGCGACGAACAUCGUAAUUGUUGCUGCCCCCAAUUAGCCGCAAGUGCUUGAGCGAAAGUCACUUCUCGGAGCUUAUAACCGACGUGGCGAUCCCUCAUAUAAUCAACUCAACGAGCUGUUCGGACUGAAAGCCGUCAAAGAGGAACAAGAGAACACGAUGAUCGUGCUGAGUGACUCUCAAACUCAAGAACUGGUGCACGCUGGGAAAGAAAUGACGGCCCCCCGGAUGUUGUUGUUGGAAAUAUUGUAGCCUUUUACACGGGCAAACUCUUGCUAUUACAAAAGAGCCAAAAA
Long non-coding RNA from Salvia splendens (bonfire salvia), 3683 nucleotides. RefSeq lists it as uncharacterized. The record is from RefSeq and is a predicted model, not a curated record. The transcript is spliced from 5 exons. NCBI's taxonomy places the organism in Eukaryota, Viridiplantae, Streptophyta, Magnoliopsida, Lamiales, Lamiaceae.